Molecule: ribosomal RNA, 252 nt
Filed under: uncultured bacterium
Lineage: Bacteria
Description: partial 16S ribosomal RNA
Rfam family: Bacterial small subunit ribosomal RNA
Source: RNAcentral
UACGAAGGGGGCUAGCGUUGCUCGGAAUUACUGGGCGUAAAGGCGCGUAGGCGGACAGUUAAGUCGGGGGUGAAAGCCCGGGGCUCAACCCCGGAAUUGCCUUCGAUACUGGCUGUCUUGAGUUCGGGAGAGGUGUGUGGAAUGCCGAGUGUAGAGGUGAAAUUCGUAGAUAUUCGGCGGAACACCAGUGGCGAAGGCGGCUUACUGGUCCAUUACUGACGCUGAGGUGCGAAAGCGUGGGGAGCAAACAGG